CCUACGGGCGGCAGCAGUGGGGAAUAUUGGGCAAUGGGCGCAAGCCUGACCCAGCAACGCCGCGUGAAGGAAGAAGGCUUUCGGGUUGUAAACUUCUUUUCUGAGGGACGAAGAAAGUGACGGUACCCCAGGAAUAAGCCACGGCUAACUACGUGCCAGCAGCCGCGGUAAUACGUAGGUGGCAAGCCGUAUCCGGAUUUAUUGGGUGUAAAGGGCGUGUAGGCGGGAAAGGAAGUCAGAUGUGAAAACUCAGGGCUCAACCCUGAGCCUGCAUUUGAAAAUGUUUUUCUUGAGUGCUGGAGAGGAGAUCGGAAGUCCGUGUGUAGCGGUGAAAGGCGUAGAUAUACGGAGGAACAGCAGUGGCGAAGGCGGAUUGCUGGACAGUAACUGACGCUGAGGCGCGAAAGCGUGGGGAGCAAACAGGAUUAGAUACCCGAGUAGUC
RNAcentral lists this ribosomal RNA (443 nucleotides) under uncultured bacterium. RNAcentral describes it as "partial 16S ribosomal RNA". It matches the Rfam family "Bacterial small subunit ribosomal RNA", at positions 338 to 795 of the family's 1533-position model. The record is from RNAcentral.